This 460-nucleotide ribosomal RNA is filed under the name uncultured bacterium. RNAcentral's name for it is "partial 16S ribosomal RNA". It matches the Rfam family "Bacterial small subunit ribosomal RNA", at positions 338 to 795 of the family's 1533-position model. The record is from RNAcentral.
CCUACGGGGGGCAGCAGUGAGGAAUAUUGGGCAAUGGACGAGAGUCUGAACCAGCCAAGUAGCGUGAAGGAUGACUGCCCUAUGGGUUGUAAACUUCUUUUAUAAAGGAAUAAAACGAGGCACGUGUGCCGUUUUGCAUGUACUUUAUGAAUAAGGAUCGGCUAACUCCGUGCCAGCAGCCGCGGUAAUACGGAGGAUCCGAGCCUUAUCCGGAUUUAUUGGGUUUAAAGGGAGCGUAGAUGGGUUGUUAAGUCAGUUGUGAAAGUUUGCGGCUCAACCGUAAAAUUGCAAUUGAUACUGGCAGUCUUGAGUACAGUUGAGGUAGGCGGAAUUCGUGGUGUAGCGGUGAAAUGCUUAGAUAUCACGAAGAACCCCGAUUGCGAAGGCAGCUUACUAAACUGUGACUGACAUUGAUGCUCGAAAGUGUGGGUAUCAAACAGGAUUAGAUACCCGUGUAGUC